Molecule: non-coding RNA, 135 nt
Organism: Triticum aestivum (bread wheat)
Lineage: Eukaryota; Viridiplantae; Streptophyta; Magnoliopsida; Poales; Poaceae
Source: Rfam
CUAUUACUCCCUCCGUCCGGAAAUACUUGUCAUCAAAAUGGAUAAAAGAAGAUGUAUCUAGACGUAUUUUAGUUCUAGAUACAUCCCUUUUUAUUCAUUUCGAUGACAAGUAUUUUGGGACGGAGGGAGUAUAUG